This 27-nucleotide non-coding RNA is filed under the name Homo sapiens (human). The record is from RNAcentral. Lineage: Eukaryota; Metazoa; Chordata; Mammalia; Primates; Hominidae.
CCAAGGCGUGCUACCUGAGCUGACAGC